This 790-nucleotide long non-coding RNA is filed under the name Olea europaea subsp. europaea. Lineage: Eukaryota; Viridiplantae; Streptophyta; Magnoliopsida; Lamiales; Oleaceae. The record is from RNAcentral.
GGUUCUAUGCUUAAACAACUCAACCAUUCCGUUAUUGCUUUGGUGCCUAAGUCGGAUCAUGCUUCGCAUGUUGGGGAUUUUAGACCUAUUUCUUGUUGUAACGUGAUCUAUAAAGUGAUCACCAAAAUUCUUGCAUCUAGAUUGAGGCCUAUAUUGGGGGAUAUUGUUGACCAAGCACAAGCCGCCUUCAUUGAAGGUAGAAGCAUGACGGAAAAUAUUCAUCUUGCUCAAGAGCUUAUGAGGCAAUACAAUAGGAAGAGAGUUGCUCCGAGAUGCCUCCUUAAAAUUGAUAUUAGCAAAGCUUUUGACUCGGUUAGUUGGGACUUUCUCAAAAGUGUUCUUGAAGGGUUGAAUUUUCCUUUGAGAUUUGUUCAAUGGAUUAUGGAGUGUGUUACCACUCCGACAUAUUCGGUUGCUUUGAAUGGAAGUAUGCAUGGUUUCUUCAAAGGCGGGAAAGGCCUUCGACAAGGUGAUCCACUCUCCCCUUUCUUGUUCGUGAUUUGUCUUGAAUAUUUUUCUAGAAUGAUCAAGGAUGCUACAAAUGAUAGUGAUUUUAAUUAUCACCCAAAAUGUGGUCCCCUUAAGAUAACCCACUUGGCUUUUGCGGAUGACUUGAUGCUUUUUGCAAGGGGUGAUGCUAUGUCCGUUGAAAUUCUAUGCAAUUGCCUUUACAAAUUUGGUUUAGCAUCGGGUUUGAAGAUCAACACUACGAAAUCCAGCAUCUACACAGCAGGAAUUUUUGGGUAUGAGCUUGAAACUAUCAUGGAAAUCUCAAAUUUUUCGAAAGGGA